UACAGCUAACCAAAGGACAAAAUUCAACAUUUUUUUAAUAAUUAUUGAUCUAGAGAGUCCACAGAAUAUUACUGCAGUGGUUUGGUUCCGAUCGGGCAAAAAACCUAGGACUAGUUCGCAAAAGUAGGUUUUUAACAUAUUUGUGAAUAACAAUUGAACGAUUUGAUUGACAGCAAUGGUUCUUGAGGCAAAGUUGUGCAAUACGAGGAGAUCUAUCAAAUGAUAUGCAUAUUGUGUUGAUAUGUGAAACACCACGUGAUUACAGAGCCAUAAAACUCGUUAGCGCCAACUAGUGGCCGAUUUCUUUCAAAAUUCUUACAGACCUUAAGGUUCAUGAGUCGAACGUACCCAGCGAGUUUCGUUCCGAUCAACAUCCGUUAACCCUUUCAAAUAGGUGCUUAAAUUUGUUUGGCCAAUGGCGGCCAUGUUUUUUUGAGAUAUGCUAAUGUCCUCAUAUGUACUUGUGCCCCUUCAGACCAAGACACUGCAUACCAAUUUUCAAGUCGAUUGAGCCAACGGUUGCCUAGUUAUAGCAAUUUAUGUGUUUUUUCUAUCUUAUAGCGCCCCCAAGUGGCAGAGAUGCGCAAUUUUUU
This is a long non-coding RNA of Carassius gibelio (silver crucian carp), 593 nucleotides long. RefSeq lists it as uncharacterized. NCBI's taxonomy places the organism in Eukaryota, Metazoa, Chordata, Actinopteri, Cypriniformes, Cyprinidae. The transcript is spliced from 3 exons. The record is from RefSeq and is a predicted model, not a curated record.